AUGACGGACAACGAGUUGGCUUUGGAGUGCAUCCACUUGUUUGUGGAGAUACUGGAUCACUUCUUUGGUAAUGUCUGCAAGUUAUAUUUGGUCUGCAAGUUAGAUUUGGUUUUUAACUAUCACAAGGUAUAUCUAAUCUUAGAUGAAUUCGUUCUCACUGGGGAGCUAUAAGAAACAAGUUAGAAGGCUAUCAUGGAGAAGUUGGAGUGAAGAUUGAUGAUCCAGGAUGGCCAACCUUCAUCCAUAUUCCAAACAAUUGAUGAGAUUGUUCCGACACUUCUGCAUGCUCUGGAGGACGAUCAAACCCUGAUACUGCUCUGGAUGGUUUAAAACAGAUUUUAAGUGUCAGGACCAGUGCUGUGGUGCCUCAUAUCCUUCCCCAAGCUUGUUCACCUUCCCCUUUCGUCUAUAUAGAGAGAACUCAGAGAAAACCUGAAAUUGAUGGGACAAAAACAUAGAAGAUAGUGACAUCGAGUCUGCACCUAAGCUCAUCGAAGUUCCAUUCCUGAACUGCAAAGGACAGGUCGAUCACUGGGUUGAGCCAUAUCUCAGAAUCUCAAUUGAAUGUCUGCAUUGAAGUAAAACACCAUACUUGAAGUGCCUCCUGAUCCAAGUGGAUGGUAUGGCUGGAUCAGUGCAGAGGAAGCCUAAGCUUACACUGACAAGGCCUAAGGAUCCUGAACUUGAAACAUUUCAACGUUUCUGUCCAAUAAAGCUUAUGAGCUCAGCUCAUAAUCUACUACUCUAACUCUAUUUUUCUUUUCCUUUUCGUUCUAAUAUUUAUCAAUUUCUUUCCUUUUAUUCUA
Molecule: long non-coding RNA, 806 nt
Organism: Ipomoea nil (Japanese morning glory)
Lineage: Eukaryota; Viridiplantae; Streptophyta; Magnoliopsida; Solanales; Convolvulaceae
Exons: 7
Source: RefSeq, a predicted model, not a curated record